This 809-nucleotide ribosomal RNA is filed under the name Francisella endosymbiont of Dermacentor auratus. Its description in RNAcentral is "bacterial SSU rRNA". It matches the Rfam family "Bacterial small subunit ribosomal RNA", at positions 207 to 1001 of the family's 1533-position model. Lineage: Bacteria; Pseudomonadati; Pseudomonadota; Gammaproteobacteria; Thiotrichales; Francisellaceae. The record is from RNAcentral.
GCUUUUGGGCUGUCGCAGAUGGAUGAGCCUGCGUUGGAUUAGCUAGUUGGUGGGGUAAGGGCCUACCAAGGCUACGAUCCAUAGCUGAUUUGAGAGGAUGAUCAGCCACAUUGGGACUGAGACACGGCCCAAACUCCUACGGGAGGCAGCAGUGAGGAAUAUUGGACAAUGGGGGCAACCCUGAUCCAGCAAUGCCAUGUGUGUGAAGAAGGCCUUAGGGUUGUAAAGCACUUUAGUUGGGGAAGAAAGCUUUGAGGUUAAUAGCCUUAAGGAAGGACGUUACCCAAAGAAUAAGCACCGGCUAACUCCGUGCCAGCAGCCGCGGUAAUACGGGGGGUGCAAGCGUUAAUCGGAAUUACUGGGCGUAAAGGGUCUGUAGGUGGUUUGUUAAGUCAGAUGUGAAAGCCCAGGGCUCAACCUUGGAACUGCAUUUGAUACUGGCAAACUAGAGUACGGUAGAGGAAUGGGGAAUUUCUGGUGUAGCGGUGAAAUGCGUAGAGAUCAGAAGGAACACCAAUGGCGAAGGCAACAUUCUGGACCGAUACUGACACUGAGGGACGAAAGCGUGGGGAUCAAACAGGAUUAGAUACCCUGGUAGUCCAUGCUGUAAACGAUGAGUACUAGCUGUUGGAGUCGGUGUAAAGGCUCUAGUGGCGCAGCUAACGCGAUAAGUACUCCGCCUGGGGACUACGGCCGCAAGGCUAAAACUCAAAGGAAUUGACGGGGACCCGCACAAGCGGUGGAGCAUGUGGUUUAAUUCGAUGCAACGCGAAGAACCUUACCUGGUCUUGACAUCCUGCGAGCUUUCU